This 510-nucleotide ribosomal RNA is filed under the name uncultured Acaulospora. Its description in RNAcentral is "SSU rRNA". It matches the Rfam family "Eukaryotic small subunit ribosomal RNA", at positions 548 to 1059 of the family's 1831-position model. The record is from RNAcentral. Lineage: Eukaryota; Fungi; Glomeromycota; Glomeromycetes; Diversisporales; Acaulosporaceae.
UUGGAGGGCAAGUCUGGUGCCAGCAGCCGCGGUAAUUCCAGCUCCAAUAGCGUAUAUUAAAGUUGUUGCAGUUAAAAAGCUCGUAGUUGAAUUUCGGGGUCUGUCUAUCGGUCGGGCUUCACUGUCCGUACUGGUUUGAUGGAUUCUUACCUUCUGAAUAACCAUCAUGCCAUUAGUUUGGUGCGUUGGGGAAGCAGAGCUAUUACCUUGAAAAAAUUAGAGUGCUUAAAGCAGGCUAGCGCUUGAAUAGAUUAGCAUGGAAUAAUGAAAUAGGACGGCAUGGUUCUAUUUUGUUGGUUUCUAGGAUCACCGUAAUGAUUAAUAGGGAUAGUUGGGGGCAUUAGUAUUCAAUUGUCAGAGGUGAAAUUCUUGGAUUUAUUGAAGACUAACUACUGCGAAAGCAUUUGCCAAGGAUGUUUUCAUUAAUCAAGAACGAAAGUUAGGGGAUCGAAGACGAUCAGAUACCGUCGUAGUCUUUAACCAUAAACUAUGCCGACUAGGAUCGACGAU